UCCUUAUUUUUUCUUUCUUGUUGUUGAGAUAUGGUUUGGCUACUUUGUUGGCCUUUUGUAAUCAUGAAAACUUUGUGUCAUCAUUGCUUUGGAAAAAUAUGUACUACUCUCCAUCUUCCUCCCUUCUUCUCAAAUUAUUAACUCUUUUCCCCUCUCAUCACUAUAAGUUAACCAUCCUCUUGCACUUUUUUUUUCUAAGCUCAAUCUUAUAUUAUAAUUAAUCUAUUUAUUUUUUCCUAUCUUUUUGUCUCCUAUUUUAUUUCUCUUAGUGAAAGAUCAAAAUGUGUCAUGCAAUUUCAGAUCAUUUAGAGUCAUUUCAACCUUCAUGUUACACUGACCUAGUCCACAAGUCACAAACAUCUAAAACAAACAAGAUACAUGUGCUCAAGCUAAGAAGAAGGAAUGGUGAAAGAUUGUCAAACGAAGCAAAGAAAAGGGCAAAGUUAAGGAAAUUGAAGAAAAUAAUGAAGAUGAAGAAUUUGAAGCUCUACGAAGAGAACAAAAUCAUUAUUGAAGAGAAUGAAAAGUUACGCAAAAGAGCUCUUCUUCUUCAUCAAGAAAACAAAGCCUUAUUCACUCAAAUUAUUCAACAAAUUUCUCAACCCUCUAAUAAUCACAAUUAUUAAUGGCUAAGUUAGCAUCAUAUGAUAAUUAUAGAGCUAAUUAUUAAUUAAGGCACUAUUUAGCUAGAAUAUAUAUACACGUAAUAAAUACCUAUGCAAGUUAUUUCAUUAUUACAAAAAAAAAAAAACAUCAUCUUUGUUUCUUAUAAUUAACGAUUGGUUAUUUACAGUAUUUUAAUUUUGUCAUCUUGUAUUCAAUUACUUAUCACGUGGUGGAAUAAUAAUUUUAAAUGAAGAUUUGAAGGUUAGUUUGAUUUAUUAAGUUGACAAAUCUACUGGAAUAUACAUGAAAAGUGAUUUUUGUUUGCUGUCCAA
Long non-coding RNA from Solanum pennellii, 938 nucleotides. RefSeq lists it as uncharacterized. NCBI's taxonomy places the organism in Eukaryota, Viridiplantae, Streptophyta, Magnoliopsida, Solanales, Solanaceae. The transcript has 2 exons. The record is from RefSeq and is a predicted model, not a curated record.